UACAGAGGUCUCAAGCGUUGUUCGGAUUCAUUGGGCGUAAAGGGUGCGUAGGCGGCGCGGUAAGUCGGGUGUGAAAUCUCGGAGCUUAACUCCGAAACUGCAUUCGAUACUGCCGUGCUUGAGGACUGGAGAGGAGACUGGAAUUUACGGUGUAACGGUGAAAUGCGUAGAUAUCGUAAGGAAGACCAGUGGCGAAGGCGGGUCUCUGGACAGUUCCUGACGCUGAGGCACGAAGGUCAGGGGAGCAAACGGG
RNAcentral lists this ribosomal RNA (253 nucleotides) under uncultured bacterium. Its description in RNAcentral is "partial 16S ribosomal RNA". It matches the Rfam family "Bacterial small subunit ribosomal RNA", at positions 524 to 776 of the family's 1533-position model. The record is from RNAcentral.